Molecule: long non-coding RNA, 585 nt
Organism: Nymphalis io (European peacock)
Lineage: Eukaryota; Metazoa; Arthropoda; Insecta; Lepidoptera; Nymphalidae
Exons: 2
Source: RefSeq, a predicted model, not a curated record
CGCACAGUCGAGCGAAGACAAUUUUGUGUCAUUAGCCAGUUUUCUGGAGCCUCUUGUCCAGUAAGCGUGUCGCAAAUAUGCCGAACCACGAGACAACGAACCUAAUCGCCACCUACCUCAUCCUGGUGCUGCUCCUGGCCAGCCUCUGGCUGCUCUACUCCGGAUUUUUCUGAGAUGCUGUCAGGAUUAAGACACCGUAAGAGUCCAAACAAAGAUGGCGGAAAGACAAACGCUAUGAAAACAACUUAAUUUUAAGAAACCGUAAUUUUAGUAUUUAAGUUAAUAAUUUAAGCAUCGUUAUACUCCCAAGCAUUUAAAUACUUCGAAUUUUGGAACAUCUACUGAAAGAAGCUCAACGUAUGGAAGCAAAACACCAAAUUCAGUGCUGGGCAUUCCAAUUUAAGUAAAAAAAAAACUAAAAAUGUAAACUAAACGCGAGAAAGACAACUAUAUAGAACGCCAAAUUAACUUCAAAUAUUAUGUUAAUAUAGUAUAACACUUGUCGGUUGGUGCAGUUCAAAUCUUUAGAAUGUUAUCGUUAUUAUGGACUAAGAGAAUUUUAUAAUAAAGUUUCUUUUAAAACUA